RNAcentral lists this ribosomal RNA (791 nucleotides) under uncultured organism. Its description in RNAcentral is "bacterial SSU rRNA". It matches the Rfam family "Bacterial small subunit ribosomal RNA", at positions 687 to 1491 of the family's 1533-position model. The record is from RNAcentral.
UGCGUAGAUAUCGGGAGGAAUACCAUUGUCGAAGUCGGCUCUCUAGUGUACACCUGACACUGAGUUGCGAAAGCGUGGCUAGCGUACGGGAUUAGAUACCCCGGUAGUCCACGCUGUAAACGAUGGAUACUAGGUGUAGGGGGUCAUUUAACCCCUCUGUGCCGAAGCAAACGCGUUAAGUAUCCCGCCUGGGGACUACGGCCGCAAGGUUAANACUCAAAGGAAUUUGACGGGGGCCCGCACAAGCAGCGGAGCGUGUGGUUUAAUUCGAUGAUACGCGAAGAACCUUACUUGGGCUGAACUACGUGGUAGUAGUGAAGCGAAAGCGGAUCGACCCUUCGGGGAGCCUCGAUAGGUGCUGCAUGGCUGUCGUCAGCUCGUGUCGUGAGAUGUUGGGUUAAGUCCCGCAACGAGCGCAACCCUCGUCGCUAGUUACAAGUGUCUAGCGAGACUGCCGGUAUCAAACCGGAGGAAGGUGGGGAUGACGUCAAGUCAGCAUGGUCUUUAUGUCCAGGGCUACACACACGCUACAAUGGUCGGUACAAUAGGUUGCCACACCGCGAGGUGGAGCUAAUCCUCAAAGCCGAUCUCAGUUCGGAUUGUAGUCUGCAACUCGACUACAUGAAGGCGGAGUUGCUAGUAACCGCGCGUCAGCAUAGUGCGGUGAAUGCGUUCCCGGGCCUUGUACACACCGCCCGUCACAUCAUGGGAGUCGGUAACACCUGAAGUCGGUGACCUAACCGAAAGGGGGGAGCUGCCUAAGUGGGAUCGUAACUGGGAUGAAGUCGUAA